AGAGUUUGAUCAUGGCUCAGGACGAACGCUGGCGGCGUGCCUAACACAUGCAAGUCGAGCGAGAAAGCCACCUUCGGGUGGCAAGUACAGCGGCGGACGGGUGAGUAACGCGUGAACAACCUACCCUUGGGACCGGGAUAACACCGGGAAACCGGUGCUAAUACCGGAUAAAUUCAGCUUGUCGCAUGGCGAGUUGAGGAAAGGGCUUACCGCCCGGGGAUGGGUUCGCGUCCCAUUAGCUAGUUGGUAGGGUAAGGGCCUACCAAGGCAAUGAUGGGUAGCCGGCCUGAGAGGGUGGUCGGCCACACUGGGACUGAGACACGGCCCAGACUCCUACGGGAGGCAGCAGUGGGGAAUUUUGCGCAAUGGGGGAAACCCUGACGCAGCGACGCCGCGUGAGCGAAGAAGGCCUUCGGGUUGUAAAGCUCUGUCACAGGGGAAGAAGGAAUGACGGUACCCUGGGAGGAAGCCCCGGCUAACUACGUGCCAGCAGCCGCGGUAACACGUAGGGGGCGAGCGUUGUCCGGAAUCACUGGGCGUAAAGGGCGCGUAGGCGGUUAUUCAAGUCAGGUGUGAAAGCCCAGGGCUCAACCCUGGAAUUGCACUUAAAACUGGAUAACUUGAGGGCAGGAGAGGUAAGUGGAAUUCCUGGUGUAGCGGUGAAAUGCGUAGAUAUCAGGAGGAACACCAGUGGCGAAAGCGACUUACUGGCCUGGCCCUGACGCUGAGGCGCGAAAGCGUGGGGAGCGAACAGGAUUAGAUACCCUGGUAGUCCACGCCGUAAACGAUGGGUACUAGGUGUAGGAGGUAUCGACCCCUUCUGUGCCGCAGCAAACGCAUUAAGUACCCCGCCUGGGGAGUACGGCCGCAAGGCUGAAACUCAAAGGAAUUGACGGGGGCCCGCACAAGCGGUGGAGCAUGUGGUUUAAUUCGACGCUACGCGAAGAACCUUACCGGGACUUGACAUCCCCUGAUGUCCUGUGGAAACACGGGUUUCCCAUUUGGGACAGGGAGACAGGUGGUGCAUGGCUGUCGUCAGCUCGUGUCGUGAGAUGUUGGGUUAAGUCCCGCAACGAGCGCAACCCUUGUCCUUAGUUGCCAGCACGUAGAGGUGGGCACUCUAAGGAGACUGCCGGUGACUAACCGGAGGAAGGUGGGGAUGACGUCAAGUCAUCAUGCCCCUUAUGUUCCGGGCUACACACGUGCUACAAUGGCCUGUACAAAGGGCAGCGAAGCCGUGAGGUGGAGCGAAUCCCAUCAAAGCAGGUCUCAGUUCGGAUUGCAGGCUGCAACUCGCCUGCAUGAAGUUGGAAUCGCUAGUAAUCGCAGGUCAGCAUACUGCGGUGAAUACGUUCCCGGGCCUUGUACACACCGCCCGUCACACCACGAAAGCUGGCAACACCCGAAGCCGGUGCCUCAACCCGGCACUUACUCUAGUGUUUAGUGCUAGAUCAUCCCAAUAGUUAAUAGUCGAAAUAAGAACUUAAGGGAUAAGAAGAAGCUAAGCACCGGAGUAAGUGCCGGGAGAGAGCCGUCGAAGGUGGGGCUGGCGAUUGGGGUGAAGUCGUAACAAGGUAACC
RNAcentral lists this ribosomal RNA (1580 nucleotides) under uncultured bacterium. RNAcentral describes it as "bacterial SSU rRNA". It matches the Rfam family "Bacterial small subunit ribosomal RNA". The record is from RNAcentral.